This 1467-nucleotide ribosomal RNA is filed under the name Bacillus cereus. Its description in RNAcentral is "bacterial LSU rRNA". It matches the Rfam family "Bacterial large subunit ribosomal RNA", at positions 1265 to 2738 of the family's 2925-position model. Lineage: Bacteria; Bacillati; Bacillota; Bacilli; Caryophanales; Bacillaceae. The record is from RNAcentral.
AAGGACUGGUGGAGUGCUUAGAAGUGAGAAUGCCGGUAUGAGUAGCGAAAGACGGGUGAGAAUCCCGUCCACCGAAUGCCUAAGGUUUCCUGAGGAAGGCUCGUCCGCUCAGGGUUAGUCAGGACCUAAGCCGAGGCCGACAGGCGUAGGCGAUGGACAACAGGUUGAUAUUCCUGUACCACCUCUUUAUCGUUUGAGCAAUGGAGGGACGCAGAAGGAUAGAAGAAGCGUGCGAUUGGUUGUGCACGUCCAAGCAGUUAGGCUGAUAAGUAGGCAAAUCCGCUUAUCGUGAAGGCUGAGCUGUGAUGGGGAAGCUCCUUAUGGAGCGAAGUCUUUGAUUCCCCGCUGCCAAGAAAAGCUUCUAGCGAGAUAAAAGGUGCCUGUACCGCAAACCGACACAGGUAGGCGAGGAGAGAAUCCUAAGGUGUGCGAGAGAACUCUGGUUAAGGAACUCGGCAAAAUGACCCCGUAACUUCGGGAGAAGGGGUGCUUUCUUAACGGAAAGCCGCAGUGAAUAGGCCCAAGCGACUGUUUAGCAAAAACACAGCUCUCUGCGAAGCCGUAAGGCGAAGUAUAGGGGGUGACACCUGCCCGGUGCUGGAAGGUUAAGGAGAGGGGUUAGCGUAAGCGAAGCUCUGAACUGAAGCCCCAGUAAACGGCGGCCGUAACUAUAACGGUCCUAAGGUAGCGAAAUUCCUUGUCGGGUAAGUUCCGACCCGCACGAAAGGUGUAACGAUUUGGGCACUGUCUCAACCAGAGACUCGGUGAAAUUAUAGUACCUGUGAAGAUGCAGGUUACCCGCGACAGGACGGAAAGACCCCGUGGAGCUUUACUGUAGCCUGAUAUUGAAUUUUGGUACAGUUUGUACAGGAUAGGCGGGAGCCUUUGAAACCGGAGCGCUAGCUUCGGUGGAGGCGCUGGUGGGAUACCGCCCUGACUGUAUUGAAAUUCUAACCUACGGGUCUUAUCGACCCGGGAGACAGUGUCAGGUGGGCAGUUUGACUGGGGCGGUCGCCUCCUAAAGUGUAACGGAGGCGCCCAAAGGUUCCCUCAGAAUGGUUGGAAAUCAUUCGUAGAGUGCAAAGGCAUAAGGGAGCUUGACUGCGAGACCUACAAGUCGAGCAGGGACGAAAGUCGGGCUUAGUGAUCCGGUGGUUCCGCAUGGAAGGGCCAUCGCUCAACGGAUAAAAGCUACCCCGGGGAUAACAGGCUUAUCUCCCCCAAGAGUCCACAUCGACGGGGAGGUUUGGCACCUCGAUGUCGGCUCAUCGCAUCCUGGGGCUGUAGUCGGUCCCAAGGGUUGGGCUGUUCGCCCAUUAAAGCGGUACGCGAGCUGGGUUCAGAACGUCGUGAGACAGUUCGGUCCCUAUCCGUCGUGGGCGUAGGAAAUUUGAGAGGAGCUGUCCUUAGUACGAGAGGACCGGGAUGGACGCACCGCUGGUGUACCAGUUGUUCUGCCAAGGGCAU